Molecule: long non-coding RNA, 507 nt
Filed under: Phasianus colchicus (ring-necked pheasant)
Lineage: Eukaryota; Metazoa; Chordata; Aves; Galliformes; Phasianidae
Description: lncRNA (ENSPCLG00000003045.1)
Source: RNAcentral
CUCAUAUCUGUUUUUCCAAAACAGAGUGCAGUCUCUGCUUUUGUUGCUCCAAGUGUCAACCACAUGCUUUUCCCUUGGACAAAAACAGGAGAGAGAGUUGUGGAUAAAGGACUCGGAUGCCACAUGUGCACCUAGAGACAUCUGAUGACAGCACAGGACGUGGAAGGAUCAUGUGCAGAGCAGAUGACACUCAGAGUAGAUGCAGAAGGCGAACAGGUGCAAGAUCUUAGCCCAUCAAAAUCUGGGAAGCAGAAUAAAUAAGCUCAAAGCCUUGCUAAAGACUCCUUUAUAGCAAUGCCUUCUGACAGGUUUGAGUGAAACUGAAUGCAAUCCAGAGAGCUGAGACCCUUGUUUUAUUGGGUAAUUGCCUGUAAGACUUGGGAUGGUACAGACUCAGGACGUUGUCCCAGCCUUGACCACAGAAAUCCCCAAGAAGCAGACCAGCAACAGGAAGAAAAGGAUGAAGAAGCACAAGUUUAUUGAAAACUCAAGAAGGCUCAGAUCUGC